AGUAAGAUCAGCUAAUUAAAGCUUUUGGGCCCAUACCCCAAAAAUGUGGGUUAAAAUCCUUCUCUUACCA
RNAcentral lists this transfer RNA (70 nucleotides) under Bunocephalus coracoideus (banjo catfish). RNAcentral describes it as "tRNA-Met". It matches the Rfam family "tRNA". Rfam says of the family: Transfer RNA (tRNA) molecules are approximately 80 nucleotides in length. Their secondary structure includes four short double-helical elements and three loops (D, anti-codon, and T loops). Lineage: Eukaryota; Metazoa; Chordata; Actinopteri; Siluriformes; Aspredinidae. The record is from RNAcentral.